Molecule: RNA transcript, 5397 nt
Organism: Parus major (Great Tit)
Lineage: Eukaryota; Metazoa; Chordata; Aves; Passeriformes; Paridae
Gene: KIF3A
Gene name: kinesin family member 3A
Exons: 19
Source: RefSeq, a predicted model, not a curated record
GGGUGGGGCGGGCGCAGGCGCAGAGCUGUUAUUGUUCCUCGGUGCCACCGCCUGGCCCGGGCUGCUGUCGCCGCCAUCGCUAGCGCCAUGCCGAUUAACAAGCCUGAGAAGCUGGACAAGCCGGAAAGCUGUGACAAUGUCAAGGUGGUUGUUCGCUGCCGGCCUCUCAAUGACCGUGAGAAAGCUACGGGCUACAAAAUGUCAGUGAAUGUGGAUGAGAUGAGGGGAACUAUAACUGUUCAUAAAACAGACUCAUCCAAUGAGCCUCCUAAGACGUUCACAUUUGACACAGUGUUUGGACCGGAGAGUAAACAGCUGGAUGUCUAUAAUUUAACAGCAAGACCUAUUAUAGAUUCUGUCUUAGAGGGAUACAAUGGUACUAUUUUUGCAUAUGGGCAGACUGGAACAGGCAAAACCUUCACCAUGGAAGGGGUCCGAGCAGUUCCUGAGCUCAGAGGCAUCAUUCCAAAUUCCUUUGCCCAUAUAUUUGGUCAUAUUGCCAAGGCAGAGGGGGAUACAAGGUUUUUAGUUCGUGUCUCUUACCUGGAAAUUUACAAUGAGGAAGUGCGGGACCUACUGGGAAAGGACCAAACACAGAGGUUAGAGGUGAAAGAGAGACCUGAUGUGGGAGUUUAUAUCAAAGACCUUUCAGCUUAUGUUGUAAACAAUGCAGAUGAUAUGGACAGAAUCAUGACCCUGGGCCACAAGAACCGUUCUGUUGGUGCCACAAACAUGAACGAGCACAGCUCUCGCUCUCACGCCAUCUUCACCAUCACCAUUGAGUGCAGUGAGAAGGGGGUCGAUGGCAACAUGCAUGUGCGCAUGGGCAAGCUGCACCUCGUUGACCUUGCUGGUUCUGAAAGACAGACAAAAACUGGAGCCACAGGGCAGAGACUGAAGGAAGCCACUAAGAUCAACCUCUCUCUCUCCACACUGGGCAAUGUUAUCUCUGCACUGGUGGAUGGCAAGAGCACCCAUGUGCCCUACCGUAACUCCAAACUCACACGGCUGCUUCAGGACUCCCUGGGGGGCAACUCCAAAACCAUGAUGUGUGCAAACAUCGGACCAGCAGACUACAACUAUGAUGAGACCAUCAGCACUCUCAGGUAUGCAAACAGAGCCAAGAACAUAAAGAACAAGGCCAGGAUUAAUGAGGAUCCCAAGGAUGCUAUGCUCCGCCAGUUCCAGAAAGAAAUUGAAGAGCUUAAGAGAAAACUGGAAGAAGGAGAGGAGAUUUCUGGUUCUGAAACCAGCGAUUCUGAAGAGGAGGAUGAAGAUGGGGAGAUUGGAGAAGAGAAGCGGAAGAAACGGCGGGGCAGUAGCAGCAGCAGUAGUUCAGACUCUACAUGCUCUGUCAUAGAGAAACCUCUGGAUAAGUCCUUCACUAAUCAAGCAGGUAAAAAGAAAGUUUCCCCUGAUAAGAUGGUAGAGAUGCAAGCAAAGAUUGAAGAGGAGAGAAAAGCUCUUGAAACUAAGCUUGAUAUGGAAGAAGAAGAAAGAAAUAAAGCCAGAGCUGAACUGGAAAAGAGAGAAAAAGACUUGCUCAAAGCUCAGCAAGAGCACCAGUCUCUGUUGGAGAAACUGUCUGCACUGGAGAAAAAGGUGAUUGUGGGAGGAGUGGACUUGCUGGCAAAAGCAGAAGAGCAAGAGAAGCUUUUAGAAGAAUCAAACAUGGAACUGGAAGAACGAAGGAAGAGAGCGGAGCAGCUUCGCAAGGAGCUGGAGGAGAAGGAGCAAGAGCGCUUGGACAUUGAGGAGAAGUACACCAACCUCCAGGAGGAAGCACAGGGAAAAACCAAAAAACUGAAGAAAGUUUGGACCAUGCUUAUGGCUGCAAAGUCUGAGAUGGCAGAUCUACAACAAGAGCAUCAGAGAGAGAUUGAAGGGUUGCUGGAAAACAUUCGGCAGCUGAGCAGGGAGCUUCGCCUUCAGAUUCUCAUCAUAGACAACUUCAUUCCUCAGGACUACCAGGAAAUGAUUGAGAACUACGUUCACUGGAAUGAAGACAUAGGAGAGUGGCAGCUGAAGUGUGUUGCAUAUACAGGAAACAAUAUGAGGAAACAGACGCCUGUCCUGGAUAAAAAAGAGAAAGAUCCCUUUGAAGUGGACCUUUCCCAUGUUUACUUAGCUUACACUGAAGAAAGCUUGAGGCAAUCUCUGAUGAAGCUGGAGAGGCCGAGGACUUCAAAAGGAAGAUCCAGGCCCAAGACUGGUAGAAGGUGAAGAACUCUGGGCUAUUUAUAUGCAAUGAGGGAUUUACCCAAGGGAAAGCUUAACUUUGUAAAACGUUCAGCCAAGCCAGGAGCUGUUAUUGAUUCCCUGCUGCAGUAGUGUGACCUGGUCAGAAUUCCUGUAAAAAUCAGUGAGUGUAUAAGGUUUGGCCAGAAUAUGGAAUUCAAGAGAUGGCACACUUGGACAUGGCUAUAAUUUUUUAUUUAAAAAUGUAUUUUUCUUAGUUGCCUGUAUAUUGUAUGUUAUAUUAACAUAAUAUUAAACUGGUAUAUAUGAUUGAUGGAUGUGAAAUUUUGUGUAUUAAAUGUGUUAUGAAGGGAAACUUGUUGGUAAUCCUUGUUGAAAUGUAUAGAAAACAGGGUUCUAGAUGUGUGUUUAAGUGCUUAUGUGUUAGUUCAAAGUUAAUGAAAACCUGAAAUUAGGGCUGGUAAAUCUGACUUAUGCCCUGCUUUGCACAUAACUGGCAGCUUUCACUGUUGUUCUCUGUUGCACUGAUCUGUGUUUGAAUGUAGUUGCUGCAAACCUUUAAGAGCAUCAAAUCUUUUUAUUUAAUAUUCCUCACUGUGGCUGUUAACCCAAUCGUGUUGUGUGUUGAAUACACAGUCCUUUACCCCUUUUGCUGUCUUGCUGUACAGAGAAAAUAGAAAAAAGGUAGGAGAAACAUGAACCACAAAAGUCUUGAGAUUUCUGAAAAGGGACCAUGCUCUUUUUUAGUGCAGCAGAAAUCAAGGGUAUCUAAUGGUUCUUUUAUCUUUAUCAGUUUGUUUGUGAUCUGGUGGCACUGUGGAGAAUGAGACCAUGGAUAUUAAGGCAAAAGAGCUUUUUUCCUUCUUUUAAGGCUAUGUUACUUUGAAGGUUUUUUAUGUUUCAGGGCUGGAAUUUUUACGUGGGUAGUUUUGUAAUCUGAGCAGCUGAGAUGAUUUAACCAGCAUUGCUCUAACACCAGGACUUGAUGUUAGCCAUGGGGCUGUGAGCACUAUGAUUCUAUUUCCUCAUCCCCAGCUACAAGGCACUGGGCCACUGCCCUACACUGAGGAUGAAUUUGACUCUCCUUUAGUAAAACAAAAUGAAUUGCCCAAUUUUCCCAGAACAAUAUUCCCUGACAUGGCUGUGCUUGUCUGUGUUCCUGUAUGUACUGUGUGCAUCUCUGGCUAUGCUCUGGUGAGAGGAAAACAUUUUUGGUCUCUGAUAAUUAAUAACCAUUUAUUUGGCUGCUCUUUUUAUUUGAUAUUUAUGCUGCUAAUAGACACAUACCACUUUAAUAUGUUCCCUUUGUGUCACAGAGAAAAUCUCCUUUAGACUGCAUGUCUUUCAUAACUCUUGGCAUCAGCUGUGGGUAUCUCAGCAGCAGCUGUGCCAGGGUGAAGAGAUGAGCUGUGAUCUCAUCUUAGUGUUACCUAGAGAAUUAAAAGCUGUGAUUACUGACAGAAAUGGAGUCCUUCAGUGUGACAGAAAACAAGACAGCUCUUCAGGUGUCCUGAGUACUUGCUAGUAGAUACUAGCUUUUACCAGAAUGUGCCUGUGAAGCACUUAAAGAAAUUAAAUGACCUUUCUUCCUGUUACAAUGGUUAAUCUGGAGGUAUCUUGGGGUCUAUGACAAGAUCUGUAAUAGUUAAAACUGGUCUUUAAAGAUGUAUUUUGCUCUGAGGGAUAUGUUCAGUGCUAUUCUAAACAAGUUGUAAGCUUUUUCCUGGUGUUUUUAAUGGGUUGUUUUUUUCAGGAUUGUGACCUGGAAGAGCCUGCUGCCCUCUCUACUGGGGGGAGUGUCACCUAAAUUCAUACAAUAUACAAAUACAAACACUGGUAUUUGUUUUUUCUAGCCUAGCAUUUACAGGUAAAUUUGCAGGUACUUUUUUGAUUGAAGCAGUAGUUGGUUAUGCCUGUGAAGAGCUGGCCUUAUUUUAAAUAUGUUUGAAUGGAGUUGGAUUAUCUCUUAUUACAUAGUUCUUAUCAAAAAAUCCAGACUGAAGAUGGCUUAAAUGCUGCUUAAAGUCUUUCAUUUCUCAGUCCAAGCAGAUAGAUGCAGAGCUGUGGCCUGUACAAGUUCUCAAAACCAGGAAUGACUUCUGGUUCCUUUUUGUGUUACAUCUUGUGCUAACAUUUAUUGAAUGAUCUGGUUUAAUGGGAUUUAAACCAGAACCGUGCUUUCAAAAAGACCAUUGAAAAUCCUUUUACCUGACAGGUAUCAGUCACUUCAAGAUGCUGCUGAGAGCUAUGGCACUCUGUUUUAAAUACUUCAAUAUUUAAAAUACUCAAUGUGUAAAGGCAUAUGAUUUACAAUUAACAGUCCUGCUGCUGAAAACCUUAGUAGUCUGCAUGUUUAGUGAGCCUUGAAGCAGGGGAAAACAGUAAGUAAUUGCUUGCACACCUUUAAUUGGCAGAUUGGAGAAAACAGUUAUCUCCUGUGCAAAGGCUUGGAGGACAAAUUAUUUGCUCUAUAAGAGGACUUUAUAUAACUUGGAGCACUGUCAUGGCCAUGUGCCCUAUCAGUUUGGCUCACCUGUUAAGUGGUGUGUUUUGUUGAAGUUCUGGGAAGUUUUUUGUAAAACCAGGGAGUUUGGCUUGUAGAUUUACCACAUGGGCCCUCUCUACAGCUCUGCCCAUCUGUGAAUGUCUAAUGGACCCAUAAUGUGUUUUAAUAGGGAAAGGAUGUGAUUUAUGUGGACUUCUAAGAGCUUAAUACAGCCUUUCUUGUUGCAGGUCAGUAUGUGCUCUAUACUAUUUAUCAAAACUCAUAUUACAUAACAUACACUGUGUGUGCUCAUCUUUGCAUCUUGCUAACAGAAGAUUCUCCUUAUUCCAGAUCACUGACCUUAACAAUGAGAUUUUUGCUUAAUGUUGUUUAAAUGAAUUAUUUCAUAUUUAACUUGUUCCUUUAAGAGGAGGGGAAAUGGUCCUUAGUGCCUUUCACUGAUUACACUGUCUGCACAUGUCCAGCUUUUACCUUUCUCUACAGUUCUGCUUAGCCAGGCUUGUAUAGAAGGAAAAACUGCUAGUUUUUUCAUAAUUUGUCUUUGUGUUUAUUGGUUUUUCACUCUGUUUAUUUCUGACUAUUUCUUCUUUUAUUAAUGUUAAUUCAUUAUAUGAUGUAUUGAUAUGUAUAUAUAUAUCAAUAUUGUGUCCCUGGAGCAUACCAUGAAAUAAAAUUCUUGAUUCUUAAUUCCA